AGAUUGAACGCUGGCGGCAUGCCUAACACAUGCAAGUCGAGCGGUAACGCGGGAGCAAUCCUGGCGACGAGCGGCGAACGGGUGAGUAAUACUUCGGAAUCUACCCACGGGUGGGGAAUAACCAGCCGAAAGGUUGGCUAAUACCGCAUACGCCCUACGGGGAAAGCGGGGACCGGAAAGGCCUCGCGCUGAAGGAGCGGCCGAUGUCCGAUUAGCUAGUUGGUGAGGUAAAGGCUUACCAAGGCGACGAUCGGUAGCUGGUCUGAGAGGAUGAUCAGCCACACUGGGACUGAGACACGGCCCAGACUCCUACGGGAGGCAGC
Molecule: ribosomal RNA, 323 nt
Filed under: uncultured prokaryote
Description: bacterial SSU rRNA
Rfam family: Bacterial small subunit ribosomal RNA
Source: RNAcentral